AGUGAACGCUGGCGGUAGGCCUAACACAUGCGAGUCGAACGGCAGCACAGGAGAGCUUGCUCUCUGGGUGGCGAGUGGCGGACGGGUGAGGAAUACAUCGGAAUCUGCUCAGUCGCGGGGGUUAACGUAGGGAAACUUACGCUAAUACCGCAUACGACUUUCGGGGGAAAGAGGGGGAUCGCAAGACCUCUCGCGAUUGGAUGAGCCGAUGUCGGAUUAGCUAGUUGGUGGGGUAAUGGGUCACCAAGGCGACGAUCCGUAGCUGGUCUGAGAGGAUGAUCGGCCACACUGGAACUGAGACACGGUCCAGACUCCUACGGGAGGCAGCAGUAGGGAAUAUUGGGCAAUGGGCGCAAGCCUGAUCCAGCAAUACCGCGUGAGUGAAGAAGGCCUUCGGGUUGUAAAGCCCUUUUGUUAGGAAAGAAAUAAUUCAGGAUAAUACCCUGAGAGCAUGACGGUACCCAAAGAGUAAGCACCGGCUAACUUCGUG
Molecule: ribosomal RNA, 490 nt
Filed under: uncultured bacterium
Lineage: Bacteria
Description: partial 16S ribosomal RNA
Rfam family: Bacterial small subunit ribosomal RNA
Source: RNAcentral